CUCCUCCCUGUGCAUCUCUUGUCUGAGCUGAGGCAUCCUCCCACAUGGAGAAAGGAGCUGUGCAGGAUGAUGCAACAUCACUKGUCCAUCCGUUCUUCUCCAUGCCUUGUCUGUCCUUGCUAAGAGAGAAAAAAGUCAUGACUUAGGUACAUCAUGGGGUCAUUUUUUCGUGGUGACUUUAAAAAAGGAAGGCUUUCCUGCCUUUCCUUUAGCCUUUCAGUGAUCAUUUGAGAUCCUACCUGUGUUUGUGACCAUUCYUGAACUAUGAGCUGGAAUUUUUAAAGCACUGUCUGCAGCAACCCCAAGCAAAAUGACACAUGACUGAGAGCUGAAGGAAGCACYGUGUGCUCACAGAGUAGAGAACUGCUUGUCCAGCAGCUGGCAUCUCCUGUCAAGGACCAAGGUGCAGUUGAUACCUUCCUGCGUGGUGAUGGAGAACAGGGCAGAUGGAGUCUGCUGUGAGGCACCAAAAGCUGGGGAUGUCCAUGACCUUCAGAGCCCAGGCCAACAUCAGCUAAAGCCCYGGUGUCCACUUUGUCCCAGCUCAGCAAACAAGAGCCGCAGGGAUUUGCGCUGGGGGGACCCCAGGCCACGAGAUUGGCUUUGCAGGGGCUGCUGGGAGGUCUCUUGGCCUGCCAAGCCUCUUUCCCUGUUAUCUGGUCUUAGGAGGAGGAUGUGAUUAGUGUUUGCUGCCAUGGGAUGUCAGCUGAGGGAUGAGAACCRAGUGCCAAGAGGAGGAAAGAGCUGCCACAGAUGGAUGAAGACUGUCCCUUCCACACUCRAGGCACAGUGAGCCCAAACUGGAUCCCUGUUCUCCAUGGGGAUCAAUCUGCAGGGAUGAUGAGAGAAACAGAGUAAGUGCCCAGUGCUCUCCAGAGCUCAACUGCAAAACCCCAGGAUUCACCAAAGCCCUUCAAGCCAGCCACCUCCCAGCAAAGUCUCUGUCCCUUUCUCUUGACUCAGGGCUGGAAAUAAUGACAGGAAUCCCAACAAACUUGCCGUGGGCAAGAGCAUUUCUUGGUGAGGCACUGCCAAACGCCCCGCGCUGUCCGUGCACAAAGGGGUCGGGUCAUCCCUCGUGCAGCCCCCCAGCUGCAGCAGGGCUUGGCACAGGRAUUUUCUGAAGAUGGGAGGGUUUGGUCCUACAGGAGCAGCUGCGUGGGUUUUGCAAUGCAGAUACUCAGUCCACAAGACGGCCACAGACUCCAAACUAUAGAUCCCUAUUCCCGGAGUCUGAACUCCUGAGGUUGACUUUACAACUUCAAUAAUAAGGGAAUAUCAUGUGGAUUGGUGGCAGAAGCAAGUUAAAUGAUGAGGGGAGAGGAAUACAUCUCCAGAGCCACGCUACUGCUCCAGACAAGGCUGCAGCAGGCGACGGCGCCCAGCUCUCCUGGCACAGACGGCUACAAUGAAUGACCCAAGAGGCCYUGAAAGAACAUCUUGGAUUAUGUUGCUGCAAAUGAGAGGUUUCAGUCAUGGUAUCAGUUGAGCUGCAGGCUAGAAAGUGGUUGUGUUGGAGCUUUCCCAUAGUGUGCCUGGCCUGCCUGCUGGGAGAGAGGGGUGCUGAGCAAGGCAGCAAACUCAGGUAAAAAAUAACACCAUCCCAACGUCAGCAGCAGAGCUGAGAGGAACCAGAAGUCCUGAGCUGUUUCGAAGUUGUGUUAAAUAAUAAAGCAGAGAAAUGAAUAAAUUAGCUGAGCAUCUAUUUAGGUCAGCCCUCUCCGUUUCUCCCAGCCGCCUCCGUGUGCCUCCUCCCCGCAGCGAUCAGCUGCUCGGUGCACGCUGUGCCUGCGGAUCCGCUCCCUCCUUGGGAACAGCCGGGCUCUCGGGAAGUGCGGGUUGAGCAGGUGUCACGUCGCCUGCACACGUUCACCCCAGCCUUCGGAAGCGGCAGGCGAGCUUCCUUUUCCGUUACUGGGGCAAAAAGUGUUCUGGAAAAUCCCAUUAAAGCACUAAGCGUGGGCUGAGCACACAUGGCUGCUCCCUUCCUGGCGCUAUUCCCCGCACGCAGCCCCGCACGGAUCCUGCACCACGGGAUGCAGCUGCCCAGGAGCUGCAUCUUCCUGCUCUGCUGCUGCCAGCCUGGUCAUCACCCAGAUAUUUCCCAUUCCCAGCUUCCAACCACGGCAGCACCUUUACCUUUGUGGACCAUCAUUCCCCACCUUGCACGUGCCCCAGGCUGGGUUAUGUGAUUGCAGUUGUCAUCUGUUGGUUUGGGGACAUCCMGCCAGAUGGACCAGGCUGAUUGACACAGAUGGGGAAUCAGCUUUUAAAACCCCUAAGCUCCCCUCAAAUCAUUCAAAUGCUUCCAGAAAAAUGGAACRACUGUGCAGUCUUUAUUUACAUGCUUCCCAAGCCUGAAAAGCCCUCUUUGAUGUCCAAAAUAUCUCGUGGGUUUCAGCUAUAAGGAAGCUGGAUAAACACUCACCAAGAUGGAAUCUGCAUCAAGGGCUGCUCCAUUUCAGCCCARCUCCUGCUGGUCCUCCCAAACCCCACAGGUAGCUGGAGAAGGUCUCCAGUGAUGAACCCAGCCAGAAGCAGCAUCCAGGGUGUAGGCAAUAGAAAAUGAGAUGUUACUAAGUUUGGCCAGGCUUAGCUGGCUCCUYGCAGGUCCCAGCCUGUGAGUCACCAGUACGUGGGCCACCAGCACGGCCUCCCCUCUGGAGGAAGGAGCGGAGGUGGAAAAAUAACAAGAGGAAACCAGUUGUUAGUAGUGCCAGUUCUGGGGAGAGUGGGAGGAGGUGGCAGGCCUGGAGAGAAAGGUCAAGGCUGCACUGCAGGCUGCUGCCUGAUUUUCCCUCCUGCCUUCAUGGCAGGAAGGUGCUUACGGGAACACACUUGUGCAAUCCGUGCGAAGGUCUGGGCUGAUCUGAGGGUCUGGGCUGAUCUGAGGGGGUGAUGGAGGUUUUGUUUCUGGUCCCUGCUCAUUCGUCUCUUCCGCUUCUCUGAUUUCUACUGAGCUGAACUUGAGUUCACUGUUAAAAGCAAAUUUUGGGCCCUUGCAAACAUUGUAAAAGAAGAUGUUCUUUGCAGAUGUACUGGGAACAGACAYGUCCAUCUUCCCACUGUGGAUGAACACCAGUGCAGAGCAUUUGUUCCCCAGCUCCUGCCCCAUUAUGGCACUSAUGCCCAUCUGCAGCUGAGCCAGAGACUUUCACUUGUGCUCUUUGUGCUGAUCCUUGGUGACAGUGGCAGUGGGAGAUUCAGGCACAGACCAUGAGCCAGUGACCCUGUUCCUUGUUCAGUCAAUGCAAUAAAAAUCUUGAUGAGAAAAAUAAAAGGUUGCAGGUCUCCAGCCUCUCCUGAUACCUCUGCUCUCCUAACUGCUGCUAACUGGAGUGCACCAGGAGARGACACAAGCCUCAGCUACUGUUCCCAUGUCCCUGCCACCAGUCCAGGAGCACUUGCAGCCCUGAUUGCAGCUCCCCUUCCCAUACAGAUACCUACAGCUGUGGAUCAGCACUUCUGCUCCCCAUUGCCUUGCAAGAAUUCCUUUUCCCUUGAACCCUCCCAUCUGACAAUUGCCAUCAGUUGCUACUGGUUUUUGUCACCUCCCAUCCCAAAUGCACAGAGCCAGCUGUCUCCCUGCUGACAGACUGGUACUUUCCAUAAAUGAAAUUAUUUCUUUUUCAAGGAAAUUAUAACCGCUGUCAGGGAAAAAAAAAAAGGCACAGCCAGGUAGGAUGCCAGGUCAAGAGGGAAACUGCUGGGUGAAACUUGCCUCACUCCCUGGUGAUGCCCCUUCUCCCGGACUGAAACUAAUUUUCCCACUUUGAGCCAGAGCGGGAUCUCUUAUGCUCAGGCUCCCUCUAGUGCCUCCUUGCCCCGUUGUUCCUGGUUUCUCUGGAGGCGCACUGGCCAUUUGUCCCCGGGGACUGUCCGUCACCCUCACUACCCUCGGGUUUAUAGGACAGCCAAGCCCUAUUUGCUCACAGGCUGGGAACAGCCCUAAACCUGCCCUAAASCCACYGGCACCGCCAG
Molecule: long non-coding RNA, 3981 nt
Organism: Malurus melanocephalus (red-backed fairy wren)
Lineage: Eukaryota; Metazoa; Chordata; Aves; Passeriformes; Maluridae
Exons: 8
Source: RefSeq, a predicted model, not a curated record